GAGUGAAUGAAGGUUUUCGAUACGUAAUAAGCUCUUGUUGUUUAGGAAAGAAACAAAGUACCGUUCGAAUUAAGGGCGGUACUGACCGUACUUACCACGAAAAGCCCACGGCUAAACACGUGCCAGCAGCCGCGUAAAUCGUAGGUGGCAAAGCGUGUUCUGGAAAUUUAUUGGGCGUAAAGGGCUCGCCAGGCGGGUUUCUUUAAGUCUGAUGUGGAAAACCCCCGCUCCAAACCGGGAGGGGUCAUUGGAAACUGGGGAACUGAGUGCAGAAAGAGGAGAGUGGAAUUCCACGUGUUAGCGGUGAAAAUGCGUUAGAAGAUUUGGAGGACACCAGUGGCGAAGGCGACUUUCUUGUUUUUUAACUGCGCUGAGGAGCGAAAGCGUGGGGAGCGAACAGGAUUAGAUACCCUGGUAGGUCCACGCCGUAAACGAUGAGUGCUAAGUGUUAGGGGGUUUUCCGCCCCUUAGUGCUGCAGCUAACGCAUUAAGCACUCCGCCUGGGGAGUACGGUCGCAAGACUGAAACUCAAAGGAAUUGACGGGGGGCCCGCACAAGCGGUGGAGCAUGUGGUUUAAUUCGAAGCAACGCGAAGAACCUUUCCAGGUCUUGACAUCCUCUGACAAUCCUAGAGAUAGGACGUCCCCUUCGGGGGCAGAGUGACAGGUGGUGCAUGGUUGUCGUCAGCUCGUGUCGUGAGAUGUUGGGUUAAGUCCCGCAACGAGCGCAACCCUUGAUCUUAGUUGCCAGCAUUCAGUUGGGCACUCUAAGGUGACUGCCGGUGACAAACCGGAGGAAGGUGGGGAUGACGUCAAAUCAUCAUGCCCCUUAUGACCUGGGCUACACACGUGCUACAAUGGACAGAACAAAGGGCAGCGAAACCGCGAGGUUAAGCCAAUCCCACAAAUCUGUUCUCAGUUCGGAUCGCAGUCUGCAACUCGACUGCGUGAAGCUGGAAUCGCUAGUAAUCGCGGAUCAGCAUGCCGCGGUGAAUACGUUCCCGGGCCUUGUACACACCGCCCGUCACACCACGAGAGUUUGUAACACCCGAAGUCGGUGAGGUAACCUUUUAGGUAGUCUCUAGCCGCCGAAUGGUGUGGACAGAUGA
Molecule: ribosomal RNA, 1108 nt
Filed under: Bacillus subtilis
Lineage: Bacteria; Bacillati; Bacillota; Bacilli; Caryophanales; Bacillaceae
Description: bacterial SSU rRNA
Rfam family: Bacterial small subunit ribosomal RNA
Source: RNAcentral